This 503-nucleotide ribosomal RNA is filed under the name uncultured bacterium. RNAcentral describes it as "partial 16S ribosomal RNA". It matches the Rfam family "Bacterial small subunit ribosomal RNA", at positions 28 to 523 of the family's 1533-position model. The record is from RNAcentral.
GAUGAACGCUAGCGGCAGGCCUAACACAUGCAAGUCGAGGGGUAGCAGGAUUAAGCUUGCUUAAUUGCUGACGACCGGCGCACGGGUGCGUAACGCGUAUGCAACCUACCUUAUACUGGGGUAUAGCCCGGAGAAAUUCGGAUUAAUCCCCCAUAGUACUAAUGAAUCGCAUGGUUUAUUAGUUAAAGCAUUGCGGUAUAAGAUGGGCAUGCGUCCUAUUAGCUAGAUGGUGAGGUAACGGCUCACCAUGGCUACGAUAGGUAGGGGGCCUGAGAGGGUGGUCCACCACACUGGUACUGAGACAAGGACCAGAAUCCGACGGGAGGCAGCAGUGAGGAAUAUUGGUCAAUGGGCGCAAGCCUGAACCAGCCAUGCCGCGUGCAGGAAGAAUGCCCUAUGGGUUGUAAACUGCUUUUAUUUGGGAAUAAACCUCUUUACGUGUAGAGAGCUGAAGGUACCAAAUGAAUAAGCACCGGCUAACUCCGUGCCAGCCGCCGCCGUAA